UUCUUCCCCCAUCUCUUUCUCCCCCCGCCGCCGCCCCUGCACCCCCACCGCUUUGGUUCUCCUUCCUCCACCCAACCCCACCUCCAUGGCUGCGGCCCCUCUUUCUUCCCCAUCCUCUCCCGCCCUCAAUACCAUGGCCUCGGGCUGCUGCUAUAGAUCCGGCGCGCGCAGAUCUGGGACGAAGCUGAACCCUGACAUAGGUCUUGUCAGACCAGAGCUACCGUCGAGUGGCCGGUUACCACAAUUGCUCGGUGGAGGCCGCACCUAGUCGCGACUGGGUGCGUUGUGUGUGCGUGAUGACAUGGCGGCAGCAGCGGCAAUCAGUGGCUCCGGCGUGUCUACUAGUGAGAUGUGCGUGCGUGCAACAGCCAGUAUGUUGUGUGUGUGUGUCGUGUUUCCUCUCUGAAUCUUUUAACAUUGAGUUUCCUCUCCACAUGUUCGUCAACCGGCUGCAGAUGCGACCUUCUAUCAAUAUCUAUUUCAGAUGCAGGUCUUGGUGGCACUGCUGCAUGGCGCAAAAUAGAGCUUGAGAGGGCGGGCGGCCAUGAUGGCCGUGAUGGAGCUGCUCCGUGAUCAACCAGGGGUAUGAUUGGGUAGUGGUCUACAAAGUGCUACCCAUCAUAAUCCGCGCCAGGACAUGAUAAUUGCCAUCAGGAGAGUCGACGAAGAAUCUCAACAGCAGCUUCAAAUGUUUAUAUGUUUUGUUGAUGUAAACUGGAUUGUACUGCUUCUUAACCUUGUUGUGUGAUAUAUUUAGUGUUGUAAAUUAUCAUUACAUGGAAGGAUUUGUAAACUGCUAUGUUGUAUAUACGCACAUGAUUUUUUUGAGAAAAAUACAUACAUACA
Long non-coding RNA from Aegilops tauschii subsp. strangulata, 846 nucleotides. RefSeq lists it as uncharacterized. Lineage: Eukaryota; Viridiplantae; Streptophyta; Magnoliopsida; Poales; Poaceae. The record is from RefSeq and is a predicted model, not a curated record.